RNAcentral lists this transfer RNA (78 nucleotides) under bacterium. RNAcentral describes it as "tRNA-Glu". It matches the Rfam family "tRNA". Rfam says of the family: Transfer RNA (tRNA) molecules are approximately 80 nucleotides in length. Their secondary structure includes four short double-helical elements and three loops (D, anti-codon, and T loops). The record is from RNAcentral. RNAcentral also lists the same sequence under 1 other name.
GGCGCGUUAGUCCAGCUGGUUUAAGACGCCGCCCUCUCAAGGCGGAGAUCACGGGUUCGAAUCCCGUACGCGCUACCA